This is a long non-coding RNA of Alexandromys fortis (reed vole), 3004 nucleotides long. RefSeq lists it as uncharacterized. NCBI's taxonomy places the organism in Eukaryota, Metazoa, Chordata, Mammalia, Rodentia, Cricetidae. The record is from RefSeq and is a predicted model, not a curated record. The transcript has 3 exons.
CCUGAGCCGAGGGGCGGGUGUGUGUGUCUGUGUGGAGAUUGAAGGAAAUGAGACAACCUUUUCCUCCCACGGACUCAGUCUCCUCUGGAGUGUGCAGGGCUCGGGGAGUCCCAAGACCGAGUUCACGCGUUCCCAGCUCAGCCCGACUGGGAGAGACGCCCCAAAUUGCUCUCUCUGGGGUGCACGGGUGCCGCAGUCACAGGGCACAGUCCCAUUUGUCGCACCCCUCCCUGGGUGAUCUGACCCCCCUCCCCGACUCAGUCCCCGGAAGUGUGCGCCUGCGGUCCCAGAGAAGGUAAGCUGCUCCCUCGAAGCGCGCUCAGGGUGCAGACACCCCAGUUCUACUGAGCGGGAACUCUUCAGCGCUCUUAGGAUCGGAAACCUCGGCUUUGUUCCGGAACCCCCGUCCAGGUCACUCAGAAGGGCUGUGGCCUGAGGGAGCAUACUUCAGGGGAUCUCUGUCCUGUUUGAAGAGGGAUAAUCACAAGGACUGGGGCCCAGCAUGACCUCCAACUUUCGGUACAACUGAGGGUGACCUUGAACUUCAGACCCUCCUGCCUCUGGGAUUCCAGGUGUGUUUACCAAGCCUGGUAUGUGGUUUAUGCUUGGUAAACACUCCACCUAUGGAACCACACCACUAGGUCCAGAUAGUGCUUUUCAAGUGUGCUGUGCAUUCUAAACCCUUGUAGAAGCAGUGAUUUCUCUGUCUAGCCCCAUCCUACUGUCACUUUCUAAUAGUCACUCAGAGGCUUGUAUUAAACUCUUGGCCAAUAACUCAGGCUUACUACUAUCUAUCUCUUACAUUUAAAUUAACCCAUAUGUUUGUCUAUCUUUUGCCACAUGACUCAUGACAUUUUACCAGUACCCUAACACAUCUUCUUCCCUCAGCAGCUGGCUUGCCCCUGACUCUGCCCUUCUUUAUCCCAGCAUUCUUAGUUUGGCUUUCUCACCUAACUCAAUCGUGUUCACCUACUGGCCAGUCCAGCUUGUUUAUUAAACCAAUCAGAGCAUAAUUUACAUAGUGUACAGGAAUAUCCCACAGCACCCUUGUAGUAAUCUUAAUUAUGAGCAAAGAAAAUCCAUCAGGAAGGGGAUUGCUGUAGAGUCUUUACUUCAGAGUACAACCGGCACCAAGGAGAACUCCUAUUAUUGUGCCUGUUUUACAGCUGAGUAAACUGAGGCACACAGGUGAUGAGUGACUUCUCCAUACAACUCUCCAUGACAGACCCAGGAUUUUCACCCAGCUUGUCAGGAUCCACGCCUGCGUCAAACUGCUCUGAGAGCAGGUCUUGCUAGGAUACCACACCGAGCUGCAGGAGAGGAAAAGUAAGACUCUGUGAAGGCAGAAUUGGAAGGGGACUUGCAGAGAGCAGAGGACACAGGAGACUGCAGUGUGGGACAGAAGUUUUUCCAGAAAGGAGGGGCCGGCUGCCCAGGAUCAGGUCAAGGCCACACAGGGUGAAGCGUCCUUUGACUAGGGGAUUAGAAGACCUUUGAGUGCUGAGCUGGUGGGUGGGGUAGUGAGAAGGCUGGGGUGCUGAACAAGUGGAAGGUGCGGGAGUGCAGCUGAGCUGCACAGUUCUUGACAGAGCUCACCUGGAGGUCAGAACAGAGAGAAGGGGGGUGAGUUCCAGGAAGCCAGGAAGCUCCAGCACUUAGGGGAGAAUCCCUAGGAAUGGAGCGGGUGUGGGAAAGCCUUCAGGUCUAGCUCAGCUUAUGUUCGCCAGCUGAGGAUCCACACUGGAGAGGAGGUUUUGAAUAUAAUGGAUGUACGCAAAAAUUCUCUCAUGGUUUCUGCUGAAUUAAAUAUCAGAGAAUCCACAUGAGAGAACCAUAUCCCAUCUCCCGGGGUGAGCAUCUCUUUUCUCACUUUCUUUUCCACAAAGGCCUCGUUUUUUUUUUUUUGUCCUACUUUCCGGGCAGCAGCCACAUGCGUGGUGAGAUAAGGAAGUCCUGGAGGGGUCUGCUGCCUGAGACCUGAGUGUGAUAUCCAGAAUCUAUGUGACCAGCACACCAGGGUGCUGCGAGCUUGGAAUCCCAGCAAUGGGGAAGUAGAGACUGAAGCGUGGAUUUCUAGGGCUCUCCAGCCAGGCAGUUUAGCAUACUAGGUGAAUCCCAGGCCAGUGAAAGACCCUGUCCCAGAGAAAAAAAAGGGGGGAUAGAAAAGGUGGGCAGCACUCGAGGUGCUGACUUUGGGCCUCCACACACACGUGUGCCCAUGCUUAAACACACACAAACACAAAAAAGCCCGGGGUGGGCGUUUCAAGCACCCUUCUAUUCACAGGUGGAGCACAGAAGCUUUCUCUCACCAUGCCCAGGGGAGAGUCAUUGCUUGUAGAAUCCAGACAGGUAAUGUUCAGGGGCAGUGUACUACCCCCGCCUCCACCAGCUCCUGAGGUUUGCCCUCCGAAGAGUCAUCAAGGUACCAUGACAUGCUGGGGUGCCCUGUCCUCUGUGGGAGCAGGUGCCUGCUCUGUAGAUGUUAGGGAGGUGAGAGUGAUAACUGGUGUAGACCUUGAGGAGGAAGGAGGGGAUCCUUAGGGACCCCAGCCCUGGGAGAAUUAUGGAGUGUGACUUUCAGUGCACCUGCUUCGAAUGACCCCGGGUGAUUUGACUUCUGGCGUUUAAGUUUGUCAUAUGAGAAAAUCUAGUUCCUUGCUAGGCUUUGCUGCUGGGCACAGGAACACAGACUCAACGGGCCUUCCGAAGUGACUCCCUCAUCUUGGGGCAAGGACAGUUUCUGGGCUUUGGGAACCUAGGAUUCUUUUCCUCAGACAGGGACCAUGGAGGGUUAAAGUCUCAACUCAGGCACGGCUUUGCUCCAGCUCCUGAUGCUAACAUCCCAGAGGCUCAGGGCUAGAAUUAAGAUCUGCUUCCAACCUUGUAAAUAUUCUGUGGUUGAAAUGGCAUCUUUGCUCUUGGAAGUUUCUCAGUGAAAGUACACACCUUCACGGAGGCCUCUGACCAGCUUUCCUAGAGAUGUGCUGCCCUGAAUCCAAAAGGC